This 169-nucleotide ribosomal RNA is filed under the name uncultured Actinomycetes bacterium. Its description in RNAcentral is "uncultured actinobacterium partial 16S ribosomal RNA". It matches the Rfam family "Bacterial small subunit ribosomal RNA", at positions 342 to 523 of the family's 1533-position model. Lineage: Bacteria; Bacillati; Actinomycetota; Actinomycetes. The record is from RNAcentral.
CGGGAGGCAGCAGUGGGGAAUCUUGCGCAAUGGGGGAAACCCUGACGCAGCGACGCCGCGUGCGGGAUGAAGGCCCUCGGGUUGUAAACCGCUUUCAGCAGGGACGAAGCGAAAGUGACGGUACCUGCAGAAGAAGCCCCGGCCAACUACGUGCCAGCAGCCGCGGUAA